This 7065-nucleotide long non-coding RNA is filed under the name Fragaria vesca (wild strawberry). RNAcentral describes it as "long non-coding RNA (FVES_LNC000546)". The record is from RNAcentral. Lineage: Eukaryota; Viridiplantae; Streptophyta; Magnoliopsida; Rosales; Rosaceae.
AACUCCCUCUACAACUUUCCUAACUAGCAUAAACACAAAAUCCAAGCCUAGCUAGGGCAAUCGAACACAAACACCUAAAGAGCCCUAGGAUUUCAACUUUAAAUUUCUCCUUACCUAGCUGAAGAGGGAGUGAGCCUUUUGGAAGGAUUGAUGCACGGGAGGAGAGCUUCAAAACCAUAUAAGGCUUGCCCGGAUUAGUGGCCGGAGGAGGAAGUUCCGACGACCGGAAGUUCUGGGCAGUCAAACCUUUCGGGCGGCACCGCUCUCUCACGGUGGAGCUAGGGCUCCUCUCACCGGUCCAGGGAGGUUGCUGGGUUGGAGGUCGACCGAACGGGGCCGGUGCGGCGGCGGUUGGUGGCCGGACGACGGCGGAUGAGCAGCCGGAAGUUUCAGCUGCGGGAAAGCUCGAGGAUGAGGCCGGGAGGGAGAGAUGAAGAGAGAGGGAAAAGAAAUGGGUGUUUGGGCCUCACACCCACCCGGUCCAACACCAUAUAACAACCCACUCCAAAAUAAAACACCCCGAAAAAAAAUAAUACCCGAAUAAAAAUUACCUUUUACUAGCUAAAAUUUACCAUUUUUACCGUCGUCAUAUUUUCUUCCUACGAAUAAUCCUCCGCACAUAACCGUCCCCGAAACCCGUCUAGGGACCAAUUAAAACUAUAACCUCAAUGACGGAGACGGUAAAAUUCUUAUUAUAACCAAGCUAGUAAAUAAGGUAAAAAUUUACGGGUCGGGAUGUGACAAUUCUCCCCUCCUUAUAAAAAUUUCGUCCUCGAAAUUUACAUACCUGACAUUCGAAGAGAUAAGGAUACUGCUGCCUCAUUUGCUUCUCUGAUUCCCAAGUAGUUUCCUCUACUUGACGACUUCUCCAUAGAACUUUAACAAGAGGAAAAUGAUUUGCUUCUAAGCACUUGCUCCUUUGGGUCAAGAAUCUGAACCGGCUCCUUAUCAUAGGUCAAAACUUUUUCCAAUUAAUCGGCUGCUCUUGCAACACAUGAGAGAAAUCGGAAAUAAACUUGCGAAGCAUGGAUACAUGAAACACAUUAUGUAUCUUGGAUAACUCUGGAGGCAAAACUAAUCGAUACGCAAGAGAGCCAACUUGAUCUUAAAACCCAUAAGGACCAAUAAAUCUCGGACCAAGCUUUUCACAUCACCAAAACGUAUCACCCCUUUCCAAGGAGACAAUUUCGAAAAACACCCCAAAUACUCACUUGAAACUCAUGGUCCUUCCUGCGGACAUCUUUAUAACUCUUCUGGCUACUAUGACUUGCUUUGAGUGUAUCUCGGACUCCUUUAACCUUUUUAUUUGAAUCUUGUAUUAUUUUAGAUCUUAUCAAAGACUCUAAAUCCUUCGUUGAACUACCACUAACGUUUACACGUAAGUGGGUUCAGUGAUACCUGCUCUAGGGUACGAGUACCCGUAGGUAUGCACACUCUUUCCUGAGCAAUGGAAAUAGCUAACUCAAAUAAAGCGCAUAAAUUGCUAUCACCAUCAGGCUAAAAUCUCCUAACGUCACGCAACAACCUCGUCAUUACGCUGCUCACAGCUCGACAAUGAAGCCCACUUGCUAGGAAACUAAAGUUCACACGUUCCCACAUGCUCAUAGGGGUCAAAAUUAAGACCCGUUAAUUGAACAGAUUUUUUAAGGAUGCACACACUGCAGAACUGCAAUAAUCACUUCUAAUGCCGAGACAUUUCGUAGAGUCUUUCGCGGAGUCAAAGCUCUCGCAAGUCCACAAGACAACCUUGCUCUCCACCAACAUAUGAUAACCUCGAUUCUCGAAAUAACAUUAUGAAAAGAUCAAAACCACGCCACUUGGGUCUCUCCACCAAAACUAUUACAUUACCUUUUUGAACACCACAAACUAGCAGCUUAUGAGAAUUUCAACUCUCUUAUGAUUCUGCUAUCUCCACUACUACACUUUGUGGCUCACCAACCAACGAAAACCAUAUAAUCAAGAAAAGCAAAAAUUCAUGGCUAAACUCAGCUCAAAUUCCAGAAGAAAUAACUGAAAACACACGAAAGGCACGUCCUCUAACUUCGAGCUCAAAAGCUCCACAAAUCAGCGACGUCCACUAGAACCCGCUUCGAAAACGCACUAGAAACCAACAUUUAAAUAGUGAUUUCAACUAAUCACUCUGACACAAACGGAGGAACACAACCAAAAAGCAAAGACCUCCCAAAAUCAAACUUGGAUCAAUAAGUGGUCCCACCAUAAUACGAUCUCGAGAAAAGAUAUCGAUCGACUUACCAAUAUCUCUACUAACCACAACACGCAACUCUUAAUAAACCUUGACUCGAAAAGCUUCUUGAGUCAACAGGGGAAAACCCUUUUCCAUAAUGCUACAUCAUGAAAUAUACCUAUAACGAAGCAAACCAUCAUAAUCAACAUCACCAUGCAACUCUCAAACUACCACAUAGGAUUUACGGCAUCGAGACUCACCGCUUAAAUGAACUCCAGCUCACUUGGGAUCACCACUGGAUUUAUUCCGAAUCCAUGACUACGACACAACUACCAAUUUAUCAUUUACCUCGAAACUUCGACAAAAUAACCAAAAUCUCUACCCUUCAAAUCGAAGCGUUGAAUUCGCAUUCCAUAAUUUCAAGCUCUGACGAUACUACCCAAAAACUACAGUAGGAAUAAUUUAAAUAUUCUCACACACACCACAACCAAAACUUUGCUGCAUCUCACCAAAUUAUAAAUAAGGUGAGUGAACAUAUACUCCCAUUGAGGUGUCGUAGCUAGCCACCAAAUGCUAACGAAAAGAUGUUAGCAAACAACUCCGAUCGUGAAGUCGAGACUUAAAUCAACCACCCGAAAUGACACUGCUUAAAAAAAAAAAAUUACUUUGGACACCCACGCACUCUUGCUCCAUGAUCCAGUGGGUUUUAUUCCACUGCUACUACUUCCACCAACUCCACACAACUGCUAAAGAAUACCUAUGACAACACGUAAUAAAUUCACCAGGUGUUGUCAUAAAACUGGAGUGACCACAACCAUCCCGCUCUCACUCCACCAUUACUUUUCAAUUCCAUUACAUUAUCAUCUUCCCAAACACUCAACAAAUUUGGAAACCAAACUUCAACAUCUGGAAUUCCGAAAGAAACCAUAAUGGCCCCACGAUUAAAAUAAUAUAACUGACAUCUCACUCCCCGAUUCCAAACUCGCUUGAAACUCAAAACAUUUAGUGCCAUCAAUAAAAUUUUAAAAAUUCCCCGAUUGUGGCACAACAAGAAGUUGUCACAACGCACUGACGAAUGACUUUUGUAAAACCAACAAUCCAAUUCAUUCUAUUUAGAGCUUUAACAAACUUCAACUAACCCACAAUAGAGACCAAAAUCAUCAGAAAUCUUUCUUUUCAUCGACUAUUAUCAUCCAUCAUUUUCAAAAUAUAUUACCGCUGCCAUCUUAAUAAAAUGCUCUAAGGAUAGAAACAUAUCUGUAAUUAGCACUGCAGAAACCAGAAUAUAUACCACCACAACCAAAAUUAUCCCAACAUGCUCCCAAUUGAUUUAUGUUGCGGAUAAAAUUGUCGGCAAAAUGGCCUUCAAUCAAGACUCAACUAAAUCGACAUUUAGCUCUUUAUGCAGCAAUGCCUUACCACCCAAUCACUAGCACAAAUUUCCUAAAACCUUAUUUAACCCAAGACUAGGGUUCCCAACAACUCAUAUAGGUACCCCUUUGAAUUACCACUGGAUACCUCACCUCAUCAUUUCAACUAACUUUUACAGCAAUAGAAUACACCACUACUUCAAACUUUCCUUCCAACUCGACUCUUUCAGAAGUCACGUAACUCAAUACCAAAAUCUCCCAUCAAACAAUUUUUGACUCCAAUCUUGCCCACUAAAAAUGGACGACUCCACGACAUUAAUCAUCAACAUUUCACCCAACAGAUUUGCACAAGAUGCUCACCUUAGCAUCUUGAUCAUAACCCAAACAAUCAUUGAUCACAUGAAAGGAAUGCUAUCCAGCUUAUGAGUUCCCAACUGGAGUUCCCAACUCGCAAUUGAACUCUAACACUUUAAGAUAUCAACUCAAUAACCCUUGGAAAAGACGUCAACCAAACACCUAUUUCCUUAUUCAAAGCAUGAUGAUUACUUAAGAGGUCGGCAUACAGAGGCAUAGUCUUGAUGAUAUGGACAUUUAUGGCACAAUACUGUCCAUAAAAAGAUAGAAACAACUACAUCACAAACCUAAUCAACACAUGGUGUCUAAAGCAUAUAAUGCUGAUAGAUCCGCCGCGGUCAGACCAUCACUCUAUAGACACAAAGUAUGACCAAGAAUAUGAGGUAGUACUAAAAAGAGAAAGGAACUGAAUAACCUAGUGCUCUGAUACCAACUGUCAGAACCCACCCCGAAUUUCACCUUGAAACUCGAAGUAAAUCCUGCGGUGACCACCUCUAAGGAAAGUUUACCGAAAAAUUCGGCAUAACCUCCCUUGAAAAUGGACAACCCUUCCUAAUAAUACCUGCAUACACUUCAAAAGAAUCCAUUUAUAAUCCUCUACUCCUGGAGCCUUCGUGCUCCCCAAAUCACAACACCACCCAAAAUUUACUAAUCUAAACAAAUCUCCUAUCCAACCAUUUAUAGGUUCAGAGCAACUCUAACAGGAAUAAAGGAAACAAAAUAAAUUAACAAGCGGAAGCUAUAUGAUGACUAUGCCUCAUCUCCAGGUACGCUCGACCUCAACUAAGCUAACCUGCAAGUUGGGUAUUUUUAAAACGAAGGGCCCAGGGGAAAACAUUUGAAACACGUUAGAGUGAGUGGACAAAAUCAUAAAUUUAACGAAAAUAUUUAUGCUUUCCCAAUUACAUUUCCAUAGAAAAUAUGCUGCAUACGACAGCUCAAAAACGCUCAACACAAAAACUGGCAAUUUCAUGACUAGCUCCGGCCACUCUCCAAAGCUCAAUAAAAUACAGUCUCUCAGGCUAAAAUAAAAUAUGUAUGUAUUACACUCAUCAUAUCCCUUGUCUGAAUUUUCUAUUUGUCUUUGUUGUUUUAAGAAAAUUCACACAAGGCUACGACGCUUGCGUCUAACGCUCACGUCGCACCAUAAUGGCAUUUUACCUCAUUAUGGUGGAAAAGACGGUGUAUAAAUAUAUACGCGCAUAUCCCCUAUAUAAAUUAUUAUAUUUAUAUAGGGCUACGACGAUUGCGUCUAACGCUCACGUCACACCAUAAUAGAAUUUUUACCUCAGUAUGGUGGAAAAGCACGUAUAGCUAGCUAGCAUUCCUUCAUAUACAUAUUAUUCUCAUAAUCGUCCAAAUAUGGAUAUAUAUAUAUACAUACUCACCGAAAAUCUAAUUUUCAGUAACUCUUCAAAAAUAAUAAAAAUUGUCAAUUGCAAAAGAAGCAAUAAAUAUAUGGCUACACCGAAAAUCUCAUUUCCGAUAACUUUCCAAAUAGCGAAGUUAACAAAAUAAAAUAAGAGCAUUUACUUCCAAAGAUAACUUCGCGAAAAUAAACAAUUCCACAAAUUGAUAUUCAAUAAAAUCAUUCAUUUAAAAUGAAAUCACCGCAUGCUUAUAAUUUAAAACGAACGUCCACUCACAACUCUAGGCAUAAGCCCGACGAAAUCCAAAUCGCCACUCCAAUGAGGUUUCCUCGAACCCUGGCACAAAUAUAUAAUUAAAUUCCCAACUAAAAUCCAAUAUUUAAACAAAAUAGGCAAAAUUAAAUAUGAACCGCAACCACGCUUAUCCUUGCCCAAUUUCGCUUUUCCUAAAACGAAACGAUCCAACUUUAAUACCAUAAUCGGCAGCCAUAAUUACAACUUCCCCCAGAAAAUGACUUAAAUCCUACGGCCGGAUUCUACCUUAUUAAUCCGCCAAAAUUACCAAACUUCGGAAAUUCACAAACCUAUCCAAAACUCAUCCAAAAAUUCCAAAGUUCACAUCAUUAAACUCCCCUUAAUAUUUCACACUUAAAACUAUACAAAACUCCCAACCAGCGACCGCGCCAGAGGCGGCUCCGCGGGUAGCGGCGGCCGGAGGCCGAUUCCGGCAACCUCCAAUGCCCACCAAAUUUUAACAGCAUCUUCCUCUCAACUCCCUCUACAACUUUCCUAACUAGCACAAACACAAAAUCCAAGCCUAGCUAGGGCAAUCGAACACAAACACCUAAAGAGCCCUAUGAUUUCAACUUUAAAUUUCUCCUUACCUAGCUGAAGAGGGAGUGAGCCUUUUGGAAGGAUUGAUGCACGGGAGGAGAGCUUCAAAACCAUAUAAGGGUUGCCCGGAUUGGUGGCCGGAGGAGGAAGUUCCGACGACCGGAAGUUCUGGGCAGUCAAACCUUUCGGGCGGCACCGCUCUCUCACGGUGGAACUAGGGCUCCUCUCACCGGUCCAGGGAGGUUGCUGGGUUGGAGGUCGACCGAACGGGACCGUUGCGGCGACGGUUGGUGGCCGGACGACGGCGGAUGAGCGGCCAGAAGUUUCGGCUGCGGGAAAGCUCGGGGAUGAAGCCAGGAGGGAGAGAAGAAGAGAGAGGGAAAAGAAAUGGGUGUUUGGGCCUCACACCCACCCAGUCCAACACCAUAUAAAAACCCACUCCAAAAUAAAACACCCCAAAAAAAAAUAAUACCCGAAUAAAAGUUACCUUUUACUAGCUAAAAUUUACCAUUUUUACCGUCAUCAUAUUUUCUUCCUAUGAAUAAUCCUCCGCACAUAACCGUCCCCGAAACCCGUCUAGGGACCAAUUAAAACUAUAACCUCAAUGACGGAGACGGUAAAAUUCUUAUUAUAACCAAGCUAAUAAAUAAGGUAAAAAUUUACGGGUCGGGAUGUGACAGUUAUCCUGAUUUACAAAUACACAAUGACAAUAAAUAAAAGUUGCAGUAAAAUAACAAUGAACACCAAAAUGUUUUUUACUCGUAGAAACCCUGUAAACAGCAAGAAAAACUGUGUGUCCCUAACUCUUGAGGGACAAACCUUUCCACUAUGUAAAACUCACUUCUUACAAGAUUAUAGUCUAAGGAUACAUCAACGACUUGCUCUCUUGCCUAAACUACUCACUAGUCUAGAUCUAUAUUUUCUCUCUUGUGUCUGAGUAUCUCACUCCUUA